UGGGGAAUAUUGCGCAAUGGGGGGAACCCUGACGCAGCAACGCCGCGUGAAGGAGGAAGUAUUUCGGUAUGUAAACUUCUAUCAGCAGGGAAGAAGGAAGUGACGGUACCUGCAUAAGAAGCCCCGGCUAAUUACGUGCCAGCAGCCGCGGUAAUACGUAAGGGGCAAGCGUUAUCCGGAUUUACUGGGUGUAAAGGGUGAGUAGGCGGUUCGGCAAGUCAUAUGUGAAAUACCCGGGCUUAACCCGGGAACCGCAUAAGAAACUGUCGAACUUGAGUACAGGAGAGGUAAGCGGAAUUCCCAGUGUAGCGGUGAAAUGCGUAGAUAUUGGGAAGAACACCGGUGGCGAAGGCGGCUUACUGGACUGAAACUGACGCUGAGUCACGAAAGCGUGGGGAGC
This 400-nucleotide ribosomal RNA is filed under the name uncultured bacterium. RNAcentral's name for it is "bacterial SSU rRNA". It matches the Rfam family "Bacterial small subunit ribosomal RNA", at positions 355 to 769 of the family's 1533-position model. The record is from RNAcentral.